GUCCUACGGGAGGCAGCAGUGAGGAAUAUUGGUCAAUGGGCGGGAGCCUGAACCAGCCAAGCCGCGUGAAGGAAGAAGGCGCCAGGCGUCGUAAACUUCUUUUGUCGGGGAACAAAGGGCGCCACGCGUGGCGUUGUGAGUGUACCCGAAGAAAAAGCAUCGGCUAACUCCGUGCCAGCAGCCGCGGUAAUACGGAGGAUGCGAGCGUUAUCCGGAUUUAUUGGGUUUAAAGGGUGCGUAGGCGGUCCGGCAAGUCAGCGGUAAAAGCCCG
Molecule: ribosomal RNA, 271 nt
Filed under: uncultured bacterium
Lineage: Bacteria
Description: partial 16S ribosomal RNA
Rfam family: Bacterial small subunit ribosomal RNA
Source: RNAcentral